Non-coding RNA from Pelobates cultripes (western spadefoot toad), 1126 nucleotides. Lineage: Eukaryota; Metazoa; Chordata; Amphibia; Anura; Pelobatidae. The record is from the annotation of a GenBank genome assembly.
CCUUAAACCCUUAAGAGUCAAAUUGAAGAGAAAUUGAAAGAAUACCAGAGGGAGACGGAAGAGUUCAAAAAGAAAAAAUGCCAUAGAGACGAAUUGGAAUACCAGAGGUCUCCAGAGAAAAAAUACAUAACAUAGUGCAGAUUGUAUGUAAAUAUGUAAAAAUUGAUUUAAAACAAAAGCCAAAUGGCAACUCACAAUUUUCUGAGCUAUAAAUCUAGCUCAGAAUUUUGGUGCUUUAGGAUCCGUAUAGGCGACCCUCUCCCUUCUUCUCCUUUCUUUAGUUCAGUCCUAUAUGGAUACAGGAGGGGGUAUAUAGUGUAGUAUAGUUGAUGUUAUUAUGGGUAUGUAAAAGUAAUAAAUGAGGUACUCACAAACCCAGAGCCAGUCUAUAGGCUCACUUCAGUGCGCAUAUGUGGUUUUAGGACCACACUCCUUCUUUAUAUUAGCAGGAAAAAAGCCAUAAGUGUAUCAAAAUGUAUGUAUAUUUAUUAUUAAAAAUUAUUACACAUUAUAAAAAAUUCUAUUAGAAGUAUAUGUAAAAAAUAAAUAAAUAAAACACUUAUAAGGCUUAAUAGAGUCCAGUAAAGUCCAAAAAAAGGGAGUUUUCAGUGCUCACUUUUCUUUCCAGUCGCCUAUACGGAUCCUAAAGCACCAAAAUUCUGAGCUAGAUUUAUAGCUCAGAAAAUUGUGAGUUGCCAUUUGGCUUUUGUUUUAAAUCAAUUUUUACAUAUUUACAUACAAUCUGCACUAUGUUAUGUAUUUUUUCUCUGUUUUACCUUAAGGUUAACAAGAAAUAAUUGACUAACAUAGAAGAAAAUUGGGUAAAACUUCGUUUCAUAUUCAAUUUUGCACAUAAGCGCUACACCGGUACCACUUACUAUUCUCUAUCACUCUGUAAAAGAUUUUCACGGUGGUUAGCAGCUGUUUAGAUUAUAUAUAUUUUUAAGAUUUUAUACUCAAAUAGCGCUUAUACUUCCUUGUUUUGGAAUACCAGAGGGACCAGGUCUAUACCUUGUACUCCAGGACACACAACGGACAAUACCAACCGAAUAGAGACAUACACACACAGAGAGGGCAUUCGGACACCGAAGGAGUUACAUCCUCCUCCUCUGCAUCCUCAUUAUCG